AUGCGGUAUGACGGUACCCUUUCGAAUAAGAGGUUGCUAACUCUGUGCCAGCAGCAGCGGUAAUACAGAGACCUCGAGCGUUAUCCGGAUUUACUGGGCGUAAAGCGUCUGUAGGGGGUUUGUUAAGUUCCAAGUAAAAUCUUAAGGCUCAACUUUAAGUUCGCUUGGAAAACUAAUAAACUGGAGUCCAGCAGAGGUGCAUGGAACUUGCGGUGUAGGAGUGAAAUCCGUUGAUAUCGCAAGGAACACCAAAGGCGAAGGCAUUGCACUGGGCUGGUACUGACCCUGAGAGACGAAAGCGUGGGGAGCAAAACGGAUUAGAUACCCGUGUAGUCCACGCCGUAAACGAUGGAUACUAGAUGUUCGGGGAUUCGACCCCCUGGGUGUCACAGCUAACGCGUUAAGUAUCCCGCCUGGGAAGUACGGCCGCAAGGCUAAAACUCAAAGGAAUAGACGGGGAUCCGCACAAGCGGUGGAGCGUCUGGUUUAAUUUGAUAGUAAGCAAUGGACCUCACCAAGGUUUGACAUCCUAUGACAACCCUGGAAACAGGGCUUCCUUCGGGCAUAGUGACAGGUGCUGCAUGGUCGUCGUCAGUUCGUGCCGUGAGGUGUUCCGUUAAGUCGGGAAACGAACGAAACCCUCGUCGCAUGUUACAAAUUUCAUGCGAGACUGCCCGGGUCAACCGGGAGGAAGGCGGGGAUGACGUCAGAUCAGCAUGGCCCUUAUACCUUGGGCUACACAGGCGCUACAAUGGCCGGUACAAAGGGUUGCAAAACCGCGAGGUGAAGCUAAUCCCAUAAAGCCGGUCCAAGUUCGGAUUGGAGGCUGCAACUCGCCUCCAUGAAGUUGGAAUCGCUAGUAAUCGUGGAUCAGCCAUACCACGGUGAAUACGUUCCCGGAUCUUGUAC
RNAcentral lists this ribosomal RNA (909 nucleotides) under uncultured organism. RNAcentral describes it as "bacterial SSU rRNA". It matches the Rfam family "Bacterial small subunit ribosomal RNA", at positions 462 to 1386 of the family's 1533-position model. The record is from RNAcentral.